RNAcentral lists this ribosomal RNA (855 nucleotides) under Pseudomonas frederiksbergensis. RNAcentral's name for it is "bacterial SSU rRNA". It matches the Rfam family "Bacterial small subunit ribosomal RNA", at positions 17 to 865 of the family's 1533-position model. Lineage: Bacteria; Pseudomonadati; Pseudomonadota; Gammaproteobacteria; Pseudomonadales; Pseudomonadaceae. The record is from RNAcentral.
AACCCGCUCAGAUUGAACGCUGGCGGCAGGCCUAACACAUGCAAGUCGAGCGGCAGCACGGGUACUUGUACCUGGUGGCGAGCGGCGGACGGGUGAGUAAUGCCUAGGAAUCUGCCUGGUAGUGGGGGAUAACGCUCGGAAACGGACGCUAAUACCGCAUACGUCCUACGGGAGAAAGCAGGGGACCUUCGGGCCUUGCGCUAUCAGAUGAGCCUAGGUCGGAUUAGCUAGUUGGUGAGGUAAUGGCUCACCAAGGCGACGAUCCGUAACUGGUCUGAGAGGAUGAUCAGUCACACUGGAACUGAGACACGGUCCAGACUCCUACGGGAGGCAGCAGUGGGGAAUAUUGGACAAUGGGCGAAAGCCUGAUCCAGCCAUGCCGCGUGUGUGAAGAAGGUCUUCGGAUUGUAAAGCACUUUAAGUUGGGAGGAAGGGCAUUAACCUAAUACGUUAGUGUUUUGACGUUACCGACAGAAUAAGCACCGGCUAACUCUGUGCCAGCAGCCGCGGUAAUACAGAGGGUGCAAGCGUUAAUCGGAAUUACUGGGCGUAAAGCGCGCGUAGGUGGUUCGUUAAGUUGGAUGUGAAAUCCCCGGGCUCAACCUGGGAACUGCAUUCAAAACUGUCGAGCUAGAGUAUGGUAGAGGGUGGUGGAAUUUCCUGUGUAGCGGUGAAAUGCGUAGAUAUAGGAAGGAACACCAGUGGCGAAGGCGACCACCUGGACUGAUACUGACACUGAGGUGCGAAAGCGUGGGGAGCAAACAGGAUUAGAUACCCUGGUAGUCCACGCCGUAAACGAUGUCAACUAGCCGUUGGGAGCCUUGAGCUCUUAGUGGCGCAGCUAACGCAUUAAGU